UUGACUCACACCUACAGUGAUGGGUGGGACUGUCUCAUUCAUGAAAUCUUGUUUACUGUGGUCCCCCUGUCAGGAGAGAACCAACCAUUUUGCUGGUGUAACUCCACUGAAGAAAACCUAUUGGGACAUUUUCAGGAGAACAGUUUUCUCUCUCUGUGGGGACACCGGUUCUGAAGUAGCUGUUCUCUUCAUUGUUGUACAAGUCUUCACCAUUUCUUUAGCAAGUUUCAUUCCUCCUUCAUAAGCCGAUGCUCAGAAAACUUGCCCUUCCUUCUUGGGUGUAUUAGCUGUUGACAAGGUAUGUCAGCAUAUUCCAGGUCUGCUUUUGCAAAAACUUGACCAAUUCAGUUCCUGAUAGGCCGUGUCCUUUCUACCUGAAGCCACCAGGGAGGUUUUUAUUUGUCGUUGUUGUUUGCUAGUUUUGGAACAGGUAUGACUUUUGACUGGACCCUUGGAAAUGGUACCGGUGAUUGAAAAAAUAAAAAGCCACAUUAGUCAUUCAUUUAACUACUCUGAUUCAAACUAGCACUUAUAUGCUAGGCGUAUUCCUAAUUCUCACCACCAUCCUGUCUUAUUUUAAGUUGAGGAAAUUGAGCCUCAGAUAGAUGGGACAACAUGUCUAGGUACUAAGAGGCAGAACUGGGCUAAAGACCAUAGGUCUACAUGAAUCAAAACACAGGAUUUUCUUUAUUUUUAAGAUGGUUAAUGAGUAAUGAGAGUCAAUUGAAAAAUUUUCAUCCAGCCCUGAUCAUUUAAAAAUAAAAAUCACAAGCCUGUGAGUUUUCCUCAAUGACAAGGGAUAAGUCUUAUUCAUCUCUCUCUUCCCACUGCUGACCACUGCUCCUGUCAUAACAUAGGUGACUGAUUAAUGUUUGUUGAAUAAAAAAAUGAUUGACCAAAUGAAUCAUCGAUACAAGAUGUAUUUGUCUCCACACAGCAUUUUUCUAAUGCAUAUUUAUAUUUUAUUUGACAGUGUUUGCAAAUUGCAUAAUAUUCCCCUUCAGCACAACUUGUAGAGUGGAAAUGCUUCCAUAUGCUAGAUGUUUCCCUUCAUUUGACUGAAGGGGAAACAAAGACUAAGAAAAACAUCACAUAGUGGCUAAGUACCCAUAUAAACACAAGUUAUAGCAUGUACUGUUCACAGAUGGUAUAUUUUGAAAGGGAGAUUUUGCAGAAGUUAUUAAAGUAGACAUUAAAUUUGGAUUAAUAUGGGUUGGAAAAUGUUCUUUCUCAGCUAAAUAUAGUUUUAUAUGAAUACACUAUGUUGUAGGAGGUAGAACAGUGAGGAAGAAGAGCAUGGGCUCUGGAGCAGCUUCCUAUAUUCACAUCUAGGCACUUUUACUUCAUAGCUAUGUGACUUGGGUGACUUACUCAAUCCUAUCCAGAUAUUAGUUUAACUCCUAUGUAAAAUGGAGCUAAGAACACUAUUUCCUGCAUGAGACGGUUGAGAGAACUAAAUAAGUUAACACAGGUAUAAUAAUUAAAAUAGUGUCUGGUAAAUGGCAAAGCUCAAUAAAUAGUAUCCAUAAGCCCAAUAGAGUCUAGUUCAGAAAAGCCAGAUCUGUUCUAUAUUCUCCAUCCCCAUUAAACCUACCUUUUUUCAGGAGCUCAUCAAGUCUUUUCUGACUUAUUUUACCCUCCAGCUCACCCUUCAUAUGGUUACUGGAGUGAAUUCUUGAAGACUCACAUUAAACUAGACCCUCUGUUUUCUUGAAACUCUACUAUUGUAGAGCUAACUCUGUCAGCUUGAUGGAGAAGUACAAUCCUCAUAGCAUGAUGUUCAGGGUCCUUUAUGAAUGCAUUCCCCAUUCCUCCUGUGGUCUUGUCUCUCAUCAUGUCCACAUACAUGCUAUACUACAAGUACCAAGAGAUGCCCAAAAUAGAAAAGUCAUAUGGGCUUGUUGAAUAAGAAAUACUUGAAUGACAGGAGUGAGUAGCUAAUUUUGCUGUUGAGCUCAUAAAGGCUACAGAGAAGAAGGAAUAUUUAAGUUGUGCCUUAAACAAUGGUUGAUAUUUGUGAAGCAAGGUCAAGUAGAAGGUGACCAAGUGUAUCACCUGUAUUGAGGGGAAGAUUUAUACCCUGACACAGAAAACAAGGUGUACUCAUGGAAUGAGAACCUGUGUAAUGCUGACAGGGAUGACCUAGAGGGAAUGCUUAAAUGCUGGAAUGAGGAAGAGGCAAUAGGAUCUUUAAAUCUAGCAUGAAUGUCUGGUUGGAUAGUUUUGUUAAUGGAGAUUAAGGAUAUACAGGAGAAAGGACCGUGUGUGUUUGUGUGUUUGUGUGUGUGUGUGUGUGUGUGUGAAACAAUCGGUGUCUGUUUUGUACACAUGCAUACAAAAACCACCUGGGAAUAUUUAGUACUAAGCUUCCAAUCUUUUCCCCAAUCCCACCCCCAGACCUGCUUCUGUCACACUUCCCCUUCUCAGCAAAUGGUUUAAGUGUCCACCAUGAUUCCUCUCCCGUGCACCCCACAUCUGAUCCUUCAGAAAAUUAUGCUGCCAUUUUCUUCAAAAUAGAUUCAGUAUCUGAUCAUUUCUCACUGCUUGAACGGCUACCACACUCAUCAGAGCCACCAUCAUCCUUUGCAGGAUUAUUGAAAUAGCCCCCUAAGCUGCCCCUCUGGUUUCCACCUUGCCCUCCUUCAGCCUGUUCUUAACACAGUGGCCAGGAUGGGCCUUUUAAAGAGUAGUCAGAUCCUGACUCCUCUGUCCAAAGCCUUCCAAGGCCAGCCCAUCUCACUCAGAGUAAAAUCCCCAAGUAUUCACAGCGCUGGUCUGCGUAACCCACCCCUCCCAACCCUGCAGCCUUGCCCCAUUGCCUCUGGGGCUUCCUAUUCUCCUGCUCCAGCCUUCUCUGAACCACUCUGCCAUCUUGGAUUCCUUAGCAUUCCUCAUGCUCUGCAUAGGAGCCUUCCAGCAACUGUCCCCCAGCCCGGAAUGGCUUUUCCUCAGGUGCCCACCUCAGCAGCUCCUUCUCCUCCUCCAGGUCUUUGCUGUGACAUCACCUCCCCAGUGAGGUCUCCUAUGGCCACCUUCCCUAAGAGGUAGGUUCCCUUCUCCCUCUGAUCUCCCAAUCCCUCCUUUCUGUUUUUUUCCCCUUUAGUACAUAUCACCAUCAAUCAUACUCUAUAUUUUACCUUUAAAUUUUAUCGACUGUUUGUAUUUCUCCCACUGUCUUGCAUCUAUAAUAUAUGUUCCACAAAGUCACUGAUUUCUGCAUUGUUUUCCACUGUAGUCCUUGUACCUAACAGUGCCUGACCACAAGUUAUGAUACUUAAUAGAUAUUUGCUGAAUGAAAGAAUAAAUCCAGGUGGGGGUUACAGCAAUGUGUUGCUACAAGAAUCUGGUAUUUGCAGGGCAGACCUGAGUUAAAGAUAGAUUUGGGAUUCUUUAGCAACGAAAUGACAGCUGCAUGAGAGUAGCUGACAUACCAAGAAAAGGAUAUUUUAGUGAAAUUCAAAAAAAAUAACCAACAUAAAGCCUGAAAAAAAAUAAUAAAGACUCUGCAGAUGAAGCAGCAGAGUUGAGAGCCACAGCCUCAGGGUUAUUGACUUGUGUUAAAAAUCUUUGCCUCCCCGUUUACUAGCUGUAUGACCCUGAGAAAGUGACUGGAUCAUUCUUGGCUUCCCUGUUCUUAAGGGUAAUUAGAAAAUAAGAUUUCUACUUCACAGGGCUAUUAAGAGGAUUAACCAAUAAACUGCAUAUAAACCAGUUAGCAGAUGGUAAGAAAGAACAUACGUUCCUGUUGUUGAUACUAAUACCAUCACAUUCUCAAAAUCCAGGAAAGAAUCCUGAAAAAAAAAAAAUGUAAUGGAAGCUGAAUGAGGAGAGGCUUUCAAUAGAGAGAGGCAGUAAACGGUGGCUGUUGGUCUGUGGCCGAGGCACAGUAUGCUAGGAGAUUCAUAAGGCCCCAGGAUAGAGCUAUUUGUGAGAACAGUUUCACUUGAACCGUAAAAGUCAUAAACCCCAUAUUUUAAAAUAAGCUAAUGUUUUGUGGAAAAUAACAGUAAUUGUCCUAGAAAAAAAAUCAAAUGAAAACAAAACAAAACAAAACAACACUAGGCCCUCAACUGUGUCCAGCUGACACAAUGUAGGAACAUGGUGACCCAAAAACUUGCUUCUCUCUGGUGUUUAGGAGAUUUACUUGCUCACUAGUCAGAACUAGUUUGCUAGUUUAUGAGGUUAAGCUAUUGUGCAAUAUUGUUCAGCUGGCUCUGUGGGUGUUUAUUUACAGAUGGCUGCCAUCUUGAUUUAUUGUCUGUCAAAUUAUAAUUAUUAAGGAUGGAGUUAAUUGUCAUUUCAACCACCUGGUAAUUACCCACUGUGCUUUCAUGUGGUGACAAAUCUGUCCUUUAUAUCAAAACUGGAAGGUUCAUAAGAUAUUUCACUUCCAUGUUCAUCUCCAUUCAUGUCUUGUUCAAAGUAAAAGAUUAGUAGACAUUAUUGAAACUUUUAAGUGUAAUUUGUGAGCCUUCAGGUAGAAGAAUUGCUGAUUGUUGUAAAUACUUUUUAGUAGUAGGACUGGUAUAACAAGAAUCCAGUGACGUGAGUUACAAUAAUUGAAAUUAAAAUUACGAGUCAUGUUCUUUCAAAGAGUGGUCUAAUAAAAAAUUUAACAAUGCCCCUAGUAUAUUCCAUCAUGCAUCACAUAGAAUGAUGGUUUAUUAGCCUCAUUAUUUGUUUGCACUAUUGUUUACCAAAGCCAGUUUGUCCUCAUGCCCUCUGAACUUUUAGGACAGAAUUCAGCAGAGACAGUACUGUUACCCUAGUCUUUUACGGCGUUCAUCACUUCCACCUAAGGCUAUGAAUGGGAUUCUCUGCUUGCUUAAUUAGGGAGAAUCUGAUAGUACCAAUGGGAAUAAAGAGAGGGAGAAGUUUACGUGCCAUAGAAGCUGCCUUCCUCCUCCCAUUUUUGGUGUCUAGUCCCUUCUUCAUGUACUUUUCCUUUUUCAGCUUUUCUGAAUGUGUACAUUUUCAGGAGGGGAUACAUAAUUUGUUAAAUUAGGCAGCAGAGGGUCAGGUGGUAGCUUCCCUACCAAAGCACUACCCUGGGAUGCUCCCAUCAUCCGAUCAUCUUUUCUUGUCUCAGGAAACCCAUCAAGCAAGCAUCAUGUGUCAAGGCUUAUCUAGCUUUUAGAGGAGGGGCAUAAAAGGAAAAAGCUCAUGUCUCUGGCUUCUCAAUAUUUCCAUGCAGAAUCACCUUGUAUUUGACAAGAGCCAAAUCAGAGUCUUUGGUGGCCAUGAAGUCUCACCUUGGCAUCUGCUCUGCAGUGAGACAGCCUGUGCUGAUUUCUGCUAACAUCCCAUCCCAGCCAAAGAGGCAACCAUCCAACAGGCCUAGAGAAAAUCUGGGAGCAAUUUCUGCUUCCCUUCAUUUAAUGAGAUUGUGAAUCAGUUCAUUGAGGAAGAAAAGCUCAGGGUUAGAAGUGGGUAGCUAGGACCCCUCCCUCCCUCCCUCCCUCCCUCCCUCCCUUCCUUCCUGGCAAUCUUAGGCAAUAACAGAGGGCUGUUAGCUUCUAUAAAGAUAACGUGAAAAAUCUGAUAACAUGUCAAUAAAAUUCUUCUAAUGGCAGAUUAGGCCAUCUCAUCAUCAAUGCAUCUCAUCAUCAAUGCCAGAUUAUAACUGAGAUAGAUAUUUCUGCAAAACUCUUCUCUUAAUGCCAAUGUGAGGAUUAUUGUCUUCCUUGGCUCAACAUGGAGACUAGGUCCACGAAGGGGAAUUUUCUUUCUUGGUUGAAAGUGUACAAGAACUAUACUUUAUGAAAUAAAGCUCUGUAUGAAACUUUAUUCUACUUCUAGCCUGUUCUAUUCAGAUAUCAUCAGGAACUUUUCAAGGCAAAGUUGAUAGUUAAGUUCUAGAGUGGUUUGAAAAUUGUACUCAGAGUGGGUGACUCUGCGAGGCCAUUCCAUUCUCUAGGAACCAUUAAUUACUGUCAUGAUGAUUUAUAUGAAUGCAUUCAUUAUCUUCAUAUCAGUAAAGUACUGCUCAGUAUUUGCUUCAAAGUCUUGUGAGAGAAGUUGCUGUCUUUGUACCUCCUACAGAAAACAGUUGGAAGAGUUUAAAUGACAGGUGUGGGGACAAUGCUGUGCUGGUCAUAUUCAGAUUCUCCCUUGGUCUUUUGAUACUGUAUCCUAAAGACGAGCACAAAUCCUCUUCUUUAUCCUGCUUCUUGUUACGUCAACAUGGAAACUCAAAGGGGAAAGGAGUGAACAAAAUAGCAUAUUUAAAUUUAUCGGUAGAAAAUAAAGUUUAUCUAUCACAUUUCCUUUCCUUAAAAUCAUGGGUCCUAAAAGCUUGAGGAAGCAGCGUUACUAAGCCCGGUAGGAAUAUCCUAAUUACCAUCCUGGCCAAAGGGUGUUGGGAAGAAUGAUGACCUGAGAGUCAGCGGACCUGGGGUCCAGUCUUUGUCUGGUAUUGACUACUGGCCAGAGCACCUUGGACAACUCAAUUCUUUUCUCUAGUCUCAAUUUCCCUCCUUGAUUUGAUGAGAUUAUCGUUAGGAUUUCUCACAAAUCUGAAUUCUCCUGGAAGUUGAAUGCUGCUGGAGAAUGGGUGAAUCACUUGGCAAACCUCUAACUCCCGACUGAAUGUCUGUCAAGAAGCUUCCUCUUAUCACCACUAUCAAAACUUACUCUUAGGGCCAUACAAUUGUUGGCACCCAUCAAAUUAGUAAUUUCAUUCCUGGGAGUUUACUGUAAAGAAAUAUACUCCUUGGGAAGGAGGAAAGAACUACAUUUUUAAAAAGUUGCUCAUUGUGUAAUUCAAAAUUUGAUGUAAGCUCAAUGGCCAACAGUUGGAGAAUGGACCAGAACAGUUGAUGGGCUGUUUCAGUCAUGGGAACUACAAGGAGAAAUGUUUCUGAUAAUACAAGAAAGCAAAAAGCAUUUGGUCUGUGGAUUGCAAAUAUGUAUGAACAAGAUAAAUGUAAGAGGAGCAGACAUCUUUGGUAUACCUUCUAUGGGUUGGGCACUGUGGUAGGCAUUUGAUGACAUUAAUAAUCUCACUUACUUUUCAGAACAGCCAUGCAGAUAGGCGCUAUCAUUACCAAUUUACAGCUUAGGAACCCAUGGCUGAGUUAAAGUCACUUGCCAGAUCACUACCACUGUUAAUGGGCUAGUGCUCAACAUUCACAUGCAUGUACAGUUGAUCUUUGUUGUUCUAGUAGUUCUUUGUUGUUAUAGUUGUUAUGAUCUAUAAAGUCUCAGUCUCUUUGAACACUGAAUUAGUAAAUACUGAACAAUUGCCCUUAGGGAAAAUACAGGUUUGUGUUCCUGAAAGUCUCUGUUCACAACAUUUUCAUCAACCAGUCAAUAUAUUAAUAUAACCUUGUUUUCUGUGUGCUUCUGUUUAAGGACACCGUGUUUUAGUGUAUAUUGUCGAUUCAUUAACGUUGAACUCAUGGCCAAUAGCACUAUAAGCUCAAGCCUGAAUGAAAUUUAUCUAACACAAGUAUUUUCUCCGUAAGGCACAUCACAACCUUCUUGCACUUAGGAACGCUAGAUAGCACUUCAGUACUAUGCUUGGCGGUCAUUUUAAACAGUGACAUCACCAACAAAAAAUGGGAAAAGCAUGGCACCAAACAGACUGUGAAGAGGACACAUGUUUACAUCAUGAAAGCUGAAACCAGAAGACAGUGUCUUAUUCAACCUCAGCUGAGAACAGGUGUUUUGGGCAACUCAAAUUUUUCACUGCUCUGCACAUGUUUAUGAAUAACUUUGAAAUUGCCAUAUUGAUUUUAGGGUUACAAAUAAAUUUAGCAAGUAAACAAAUUCACAGACGCAGAAUCCAAGAAUAAUGAGAACCGACUGUAUAUUCAAUCAUUGGGCAAAUAUUAAUUGUGUGCCUACUAUGUGCCGGACACUGUUCUAGUCACUGGGGAUUCAGCAGUGAACAAAACAAAGCCUCUGUGCUCCUGGACCUAACAUUCUGGGGAAAGGGUAAAUGCAGGUAGUAAAGUACAUCAUGGUCAAGAUGGUGAUAAUCUAUGGAGACAGAUCACACUGGGAGUGGAGUAGGGAGGGAUUAGUGGAGUGUUCUGUGAACACUCAAGGAAAUCAGUUCAUAUGGACAUGUGUGGAAGGAGCAAUUUGGGAAGUAGGGACACGCAGUGUAGAUGCUGAGCAAGAAGCCAGGAUGGCUGCAGUUGGGGGUGGCAGAGAGGAGAUGAGAUAAAGACUGGGUUGGCAAAUGAUGUAGGAUUCUCUGACUUCAGAACCUGGGCUCUUGAAAGGAACAUGGGAUGAAGAUGCAGUAUGAGCACUGGGGUGCAUUCUAAGUUGUCAUAAGGUUGGCAAACGAAAAAGACUGUGAGCUUUUGCUCUUGAGAAAGGUUCCAGUAAGAUCCAAAGAAAGAAUCUUCGCAAAGGGGUGGAGGCUUCGCCAAGGCCCCCAGACCUCUACUUCAUCUGAAGCUUCAGGGUGGGUCACCUGAGGAUGCCUCUUUUAGGGAAGUGACUUCAAAUCAGCUUGGGAUUGGAGGAGACUCUCUGGGAGAUAAUCUGGCCCAGAGCUGCAAUACUGAGGACAAUUUCAUCAGCAUUGACAGUGCAUCUGAGGAGAGGCUGGUCACAGCAAACAAACCAUCACCCAGGACAACAGGAGUGAAGGCAGAGAGCAAGUCUGCACAGUAAGAUUAGCUUGUACAAAAACACUGCUCAACCAACUCAGCUCUGCUCACUGCACUCAUCAGAAUAUGAAUGCCACAGCCCAUGUUGGAGUCAGUUGCAAAACUCAUCUGCAGUUAGACAUCCUAAGACUCAACCCAUACCACUGACUGAUAUGGAAACUGAGGCCCAGCAAGGGAAACUAAUGAACAUCCCAUCAAACACCAAGGGAGGGGCUGAACCAGGAUGGAAACUUAGCUCUGGCCAAACCAUCAUUCUAGACAGUUAUUCCUAGAGUUAAAAAAAAGAAGAAAUUUCACAGAAUUCCCAGGUUUGCAGAAAAGCCACUGAUUGAGCUGCUGUGUUUGUGUCCAUGCAAGCAACUGCAGCCACCUCUACAAUUCAGUUUAGUGACUUUAUUUAUUUAUUUAUUUAGGCAACCUGGCCAUUCAACAUCUGCCUCUUGGAGGGCCCUGUGGAAAACUGUGUGGCCAUAAUGUGAGCCACUCCCAAGAGAAAGGUUCUUAGUCAGCAAAGGUGGUCACGCUAGUUGGAAGAGUCAAAAGGAAUUAAACUCCUGUCCCAUGAUCUUUAGAUCUAACAGAGGCACUGGUUCCCUCUUUCAAAGCUUUUUGUAGGAAGGCCUGUCAUUUGUGAGGCUCUCUGGCUUCAGGCUUCUGCCUAUCUUCUGCGAGGCACUGAAUCCCAAAAGAAGUGGAAAGUGGUUGGUCGGGGACAGUGGUGUGCUGGUAGACCCGCUCUCUGGGGGAUGGUAAAGGAAAGCCUUGGUUUCCUGCAUUUGCCCGAUAUCUGUGGUGCAAAUACUUUCCCCAUGGUGGCUUUCAAGCUACCAAGGAUUCACAACCGGCUCACAGAAUUCCUGAAAAUUUAACAAUCCACUCUCAUGCGCCUGCUGCAGCCAUUUCCAGCCCACCUCUGUAGCUCUCUAAACAGCAGGGCCUCAUGGAUGAGACUAGAGAGGGGAGAUGUAGCUGGCUCUGUUUAAUUCUGUGAGGUCAAACCACACCUGGGAGGGUGUGUCUGGUUUCAAAGCCUACAUUGUAAGAGGAACAUAGGCACACUGAAAAUUGUUUGAUUUGGGCAAGAAGCAAUUUCGUCUGAAAAGCCCACCGGGAGACCUAUUGCUGGAAUGAGAAUCCAGGGGAAGAAAAACACAGGGUAUCCUGGCCAUUGUUUCCAAAUCUCUGUGGGGCUGUAAGGUACUUUUCCUGAGGCGUGGAAUCUGAACAAAUGGGUUGGGGAGGCGUCUAGAACCGGGAUGCUGAUUUCAGCUCAACCUAGGACUUUUCCGAUAAAGCCACCCAGAGAAAGGCAGAGCUGCCUGGCACCAUGAGGAAUGCCAUCACUAAAAGAAUAGCAUAAAGAACAUAGGGCACCCACUAGGUGGGGCUGUGACCGUGGGGACUCCAGGGGCCCCUUCUAGUUCCUGGGGUCUGAUCCUGCAAUGGACUCUUCUUCCUUUUCCUAGGUAGCCAGUUUUAUCUUCUCACUUUCCACUCCCCUUUUCUCUUUCUCCUCUUUCCUGGGCUCUUUUUCUUAGCUGCCUUUAGCCUCUUUACUGGGUUGAUCUUCCUUCUGGGACAUUGACCUCUAGAGCUUCCUGCACAGAGCGGACUCAGCCCCUUCUCUUUCUCAGGACCCACUUACACCCCCGGGGGAGAGAGCAGGGGCCCUCCUUGUCUUAUUUUUCCUUGCUUUCUCUUCUCUCUUCCAACAUUCUCAGCUCCACAUUUGUGAUUGAAGAAGGGCAAAUAAACAAAUUGAAACUGAAACUGAGCAUUGGCCAUAAAGUGAGGACAUCUGGGAGGCUUGUAAGGAAAUUUACAUGCUUGCCUGGUUUCAGGUUGCAUAUUUUGUGUUGCCUGGUAACAAGCCCAGCGUUCCCUUUCAUGCUUUAUUCUCCUCCUAUCCCCUGUUUAUAGUGUAAUUACCACUGUGACAUCAUAAUCCCUCAUUGAACAGCUGUCAGGGGGGCCCAACUGCUGAGUAAACAGGGCUUUAUAAUCUCUCCUCCCAUGGGCUGGUUUACUAAAUAGAUCAAUAUUUGGUUUGUAGGCACAGAGAUUAGGAGGUGGAAAUGUCUUUUGAAAAAGCCCAAUCUCUUCCCAGGGCCCUGAGUGCACCUGAGAAUGCUGAAAAGAAAAGCCAAGUUCACGGACAAAAAAAGAAUCACCCAAGCUGCUUUCACCUGCCUGCGAUUUCCCAGGAAGCCAGUUUGUCUUUAAGAAGUGAGACCCAUUUGAGAAUGAGUAAUGUCUUAGGCUCUUUAGUCUAAUGCUUAGAGAAUUCCACUUUCUUCUUUCGCUCGGCCUCCCCCUGAGCUCCCCUUUCUCUGUCCCCAACUCCAUUUUAUUUAAUCUUUCUAAAUGGAUAUUGUAGCCUCAGGGACUAAAAGAAUGACACAUGGAUAAACAGGAACUAAGCUCCUAAGCUUUUCCCCUACCUGCCAUCUUCCUCACCACGCAUGAGGAUUAGAAGCAUCACAAAGAAAGCAGUCUCGGAAGUUUGUCAAAUAGAGAUUUCUGGGUGAUGGUUUGGGAAAGGAUGAUUUAGAUCGUGCCUCUCCUGGGUCGGGAAAGUGACUGAAACACAUAACAGCAGAGAACUUGAAGUGCUGGUUUGAGCUUCAGGAGAUGUGAGUUCUAGCCCCAGUGCUGCCUGUGAUUUUCUCUGUGACCUGGGACAAGUCCCUUGUGGAUACGACAGGAUAUGCGGGCUACAGGGAUCUCUGAGGCUUCUCCCAGUGAACUUCUCUCAUAUUCUACAUCUUAAGACAAUGGAUAUAUUUUCUCAAACUGGUCAGACAGUUAAAGAGUCAUCUUACAGAUUAUAAAAUAUAUACAUGGCAAGAGAACCAGGACAAUGACUGACUAUGUGACUAUGACUAUGUGACUAUGACCGUAAGACACUAUGAAUGGCUCUUUCUUCCCUAAGCCUGCAUCUGGCUUCAGACCCUUCUCAGCAAGAAGCUCCAGAAAGCUACUAAUGAUUGAUCAAGAUUAAAUGCAACUUGAAAACGA
Long non-coding RNA from Homo sapiens (human), 11645 nucleotides. RefSeq lists it as uncharacterized. The transcript has 3 exons. The record is from RefSeq and is a predicted model, not a curated record. Lineage: Eukaryota; Metazoa; Chordata; Mammalia; Primates; Hominidae.